UUCCAUAACCUUUCUUCCUUUGAACUUUUUCUAUCAUAGAUAGCUAUUCCAGGUACAAUAUUCCCUUCUAGCUAUCUAGUUCCUUCUUGUUUCUCCUCCCAACUUUGUCAACACAGACCCCUGAAAGUAUCUUCUACCAUUGUCAGUUCUUCUCACAGCUGUAACUCCAGCAUCUGACCCCUUUACAGCCCUUUCCUGUUCCAGAGGAAUGACUCAUUGCAAGUGUCUCAUCAACACCAUUGGUUGACCUUAGCAUAACCUUUUAGUGUCUCUUUUUGCUUUGGGAUCCUGAACUCUUCAACUGCUGCUACCACCCUUGCAUUCCUAGGACUCUAGGUUUUCAUAUAUUUUGGCCCUUCACUAUGAGUCAGCUUCUGCUUCUUGAUGAAUAUAAUACUAUUCUCUAGGAUCCCUUUCACUAAAAUUUCUUUUUUUCUCUUUUCUUAUAAUCUCAUCAAUAUAUCUUCCCCUGAUUCUGAAUUUAUGUUGGGUGAGGGGUGAGUUGUAGAUAGUUUUUUGAUUUUGGAUGGAUGAUAACAAAAAAUUCUGUAAUGUGAAUUGGUAGUUGGGUUAGAAAAGGUUUUAUGGGUGUGGUUGGUAGAAGGCAACAAGGUAGAGAAGAAUCAAAUACACCGGAGUGGGUAUUCAAGAAAAAGUGAUAUGGUAGUGAACAGUAGAUGAUUUUCACAGUUAUACCAUGAAUCUUUUACUUUAAUGGACUUUUAACUUUUCUGUCAGUGUUACUUGAUCGACUUGUUAGAAUUACAGCAUAGCACUUUAUAAAAGAAUAUUCAUUGGCUCACCUACUGCUCUGCUACUUUCCAGAUGAUCUCCAGAGUAUAUUUCCAACAAGAUAGAAACUCUGUCAGGAAGGCACAUUAUUAUAAAAUAGGAAUCCAUAGUAUUGUCAGAUAAAAACUAUAAGCUUGCAUAAUUCUGAUGCAGUAUUAUUCAUUUGUUUAUAUAUUCAACAAAUAGUUACUGCUUCUUAGAUUUUUAGGAAUAUAUCACUAAAGCUGCUGACACACAGAAGGAAUCAUUAAACUCUUUCAGACAGAAUUUGCCAUGAGUUUACCAGAAUUAUACUCUUAUCAAACACCAUUAGAUCAAAAUAAAGCUAAAAUCUUUUUUUACUCUGAAGGGUAACAUGAUAAUUCAUGAGUGUAAAAA
RNAcentral lists this long non-coding RNA (1170 nucleotides) under Homo sapiens (human). Its description in RNAcentral is "HSALNT0076338". Lineage: Eukaryota; Metazoa; Chordata; Mammalia; Primates; Hominidae. The record is from RNAcentral.